This 375-nucleotide ribosomal RNA is filed under the name uncultured organism. RNAcentral describes it as "partial 16S ribosomal RNA". It matches the Rfam family "Bacterial small subunit ribosomal RNA", at positions 527 to 896 of the family's 1533-position model. The record is from RNAcentral.
GGAGGGUGCAAGCGUUGUUCGGAAUUAUUGGGCGUAAAGGGCGUGUAGGCGGUCCGGUAAGUCAGAUGUGAAAGCCCUGGGCUCAACCCAGGAAGUGCAUUUGAAACUACCAGACUUGAGUACGGGAGAGGAGGGGGGAAUUCCCGGUGUAGAGGUGAAAUUCGUAGAUAUCGGGAGGAAUACCAGUGGCGAAGGCGCCCCUCUGGACCGAUACUGACGCUGAGACGCGAAAGCGUGGGGAGCAAACAGGAUUAGAUACCCUGGGUAGUCCACGCCGUAAACGAUGAGCACUAGGUGUAGCGGGUAUUGACCCCCCUGCUGUGCCGUAGCUAACGCAUUAAGUGCUCCGCCUGGGGGACUACGGUCGCAAGACUA